Molecule: ribosomal RNA, 564 nt
Filed under: uncultured bacterium
Lineage: Bacteria
Description: bacterial SSU rRNA
Rfam family: Bacterial small subunit ribosomal RNA
Source: RNAcentral
AAUUUUGGGCAAUGGGCGAAAGCGUGAUCCAGCAAUGCGGCGUGCAGGAUGAAGGCCUUCGGGUUGUAAACUGCUUUUGUACGGAACGAAAAAGCUCCUUCUAAUACAGGGGGCCCAUGACGGUACGGUAAGAAUAAGCACCGNCUAACUACGUGCCAGCAGGGGCGGUAAUACGUAGGGUGCGAGCGUUAAUGGGAAUUACUGGGCGUAAAGGGUGCGCAGGCGGUUAUGUAAGACAGAUGUGAAAUCCCCGGGCUCAACCUGGGAACUGCAUUUGUGACUGCAUGNCUAGAGUACGGUAGAGGGGGAUGGAAUUCCGCGUGUAGCAGUGAAAUGCGUAGAUAUGCGGAGGAACACCGAUGACGAAGGCAAUCCCCUGNACCUGUACUGACGCUCAUGCAGGAAAGCGUGGGGAACAAACAGGAUUAGAUACCCUGGUAGUCCACGCCCUAAACGAUGUCAACUGGUUGUUGGGAAUUAGUUUUCUCAGUAACGAAGCUAACGCGUGAAGUUGACCGCCUGGGGAGUACGGCCGCAAGGUUGAAACUCAAAGGAAUUGACGGA